GCGACUGAUUUUCUUUAAAUACAGCAACAUCUCUGGUGGUUCACAAUCAAACCACUAGGAAACGAUUCCGUUCAAGUCGCCAGACAACCAAGCCGACAACCAAGGAAAUAAGUGACAUUUCUUAGUCUACCACCAUCUACCAACACUUGAAAAAAAUGAAGAAUUUUUUUGUAUCAUGCAUAGCUUUCGUGCUAUUUGUUGCUGCAUUCACGCCAUCCAACGCACAGACCACUGAUGAAAUGACAAUUGAUGAGAUAUUCGCAAGGAUAGACAGCGAUCUUACAACCCUCUAUAACUGUAUUUUCAAUGGAUGCAAUGAAGAAACAGAUUCACUAGCAAAGCGAGGACGUGUUGGUCUUGCUCAACUAGACAACAUCGGCCGAAACAGGAUGAGCUACAAGGGUCUUAAGUCAAAGAUUUUGGGAGGCGCUGGAAAACACUGAACACACUACUUCAAGAAAAAAGUACAACAAAAUCAGUGUUUUUAUAAACAUCUUAUCAAAGAAGUUCGGCUGUAGCGACAGACCAUCCAUUGGAAACUUCAACAAUUUUUCUUCACUCGCUCUCUCUAUGUUUCUCUGUUAUAUUUCAAUAGUUUAUCAACAUUCAGAUAUUUAUUUAAAGUGAGUCAAAACUUAUAAAAUCAAGAUAAACCUUCUUGAAAAUGUAAACGCUAUGGUAUAUUUUUAAAGAGGAGAUUGUGAGCCUGCUAAAAUGAUUACAAUGUUGAUGUCUCCCAAUAAUUGUGAUGCCGUGGCUUGCGUUUAAAAAAGAAACAACUUCUAAGAAUCUCCCGUUAUGGACCAAAGAAUCUCGUAUCAAUAUAGGCCUAUAUGUUACGCUAGCAGAUUUUGUCACUCCUAAGUAGUGUAAGUUUGUGCAUCGUUGACUACCCUCCAGAAUUGUUAAUAGCUUUCUAAUAACGAUCUUAAUUGACAGAUGCUAUACAAACCUAAUCUACCCUCGCUUGCUUGAUGUAGAUUUAGAGGCCUGAACCCGGAUUAAUAUACGGUAAAUGAACAAUUGCAAACGGUUGACUCGUAUUGCAUUAACAACCAGUAUUCAAAUUACGUAGAUGUAAAUAAUAGAGAAAAAACGUGGUACACGAAUAUGGAUGUUAUUUUAGUCAGAGUCAAAAAAAAGUCAAAGGUUUCCUACUAUCGUAAAAACAAAAAGUUCCCUUGAUUUAGCCCUAGGCUUAUUCUAAACUUGCAUAGACUAAAUAGAUCAAUUGUUUAUACUGUCCAAAUGUUUAAAAUUUAAUGUUAAAUUUUUGAAAAUUAUAAAAGCUAUACUUCAAUUACUCGGUUGGACGAUCACCGAUUUGCUAUAUUCGUGUGCCUUCAAAUGCAUUCCGUAAAAUUAAUUCUCAAUUAGCCCAAAUGAAUUAUAUUGAAUGUAAAGAUAAAUGUAAUUUCAAUAAACGAAACUUCAAAACUGA
Anneissia japonica is the source of this 1441-nucleotide long non-coding RNA. RefSeq lists it as uncharacterized. Lineage: Eukaryota; Metazoa; Echinodermata; Crinoidea; Comatulida; Comatulidae. The record is from RefSeq and is a predicted model, not a curated record. The transcript is spliced from 4 exons.